Molecule: transfer RNA, 77 nt
Filed under: Christensenella minuta
Lineage: Bacteria; Bacillati; Bacillota; Clostridia; Christensenellales; Christensenellaceae
Description: tRNA-Arg
Rfam family: tRNA
About the family: Transfer RNA (tRNA) molecules are approximately 80 nucleotides in length. Their secondary structure includes four short double-helical elements and three loops (D, anti-codon, and T loops).
Source: RNAcentral
GCACCUAUAGCUCAGUAGGAUAGAGCGUCCGCCUCCUAAGCGGAAGGCCACAGGUUCGAAUCCUGUUAGGUGCGCCA